Molecule: non-coding RNA, 136 nt
Organism: Hordeum vulgare subsp. vulgare (domesticated barley)
Lineage: Eukaryota; Viridiplantae; Streptophyta; Magnoliopsida; Poales; Poaceae
Source: Rfam
UAUGUACUCCCUCCAUUCCAAAAUUAUUGUCUUAGGUUUAUCUAAAUAUGAAUGUAUCUAGUCAUGUUUCAAUAUCUAGAUGUGCCCAUAUCUUAAAGAAUCUAAGACAAGAAUUUUGAGACGGAGGGAGUACUUG